Molecule: long non-coding RNA, 1176 nt
Filed under: Parus major (Great Tit)
Lineage: Eukaryota; Metazoa; Chordata; Aves; Passeriformes; Paridae
Description: lncRNA (ENSPMJG00000014317.1)
Source: RNAcentral
AUAAGCAGUUACCUCUCUGGGACUUAGAGUGUUUUCUGAUAUCAUUUUGAAGCAAAAACUCUGGAUUCAACUUCUGUCGUAGGACAUGCAGACUCAUUGCACCUGUACUCUUAAGACAAGUUUAUCCCAUGAAGUGCUGAACAACCACAUCUUUCUUCACAACUGGAGCUGAUGACUCUAAAAACCUCAAGAAAUGUCUGUUUACUGCAAGACCAGACAGCACAUCAUAAAAACCUACCCUCCAAGCUUUCUGUAAGAAAAGGAGGAGGAAGUUUUCUUUCUCUUCUGUCACAAGAGGUCAGAAGGACCAAAACCAUUUUCACUGUCUAAUUCUGCUGCUGUACAUUUUGGUACCUAUGUAAAGAUCCAAGAAUAAAUUUUGGCCUGGACCAUGGAAUAUUUACUCACUUUGAAAUGCAGAUGUGACCUGCCUUCUCCUUCUGCAACUAACAGGGUGACCAGAGGCAGUGGAAUGUACACCAGGACUGGAAAGAACAGAACCAGAGGGAAAGCAAACUGUCAAGAGAACAGUGUACUGAAGAGGAAAAAUUUUUUCAUACAGAAUACACCUUCUGCCUGGAAGAGGUGCAACACUUCCUCCAGUCCCUGUGUCUGCCUUGCAGAACAAAGUCAAAUUAUGGCUACAGGAAUGUUUCCCUUAUGUGGAGAGCAAUUCACAGCCAUCACAGUGCCUCCCUCCUGUCUUCUACAAGCUGUGUAAGUAUUGGUGGGUUACACCACACCCUGAAUUUACUGCAGUUUCAACACACUAAACAUACACGUGUUGCUUAGUGUGGGCUGCUCAGCAUGCACCAACCUGAAGGACCACAGGGGAAAGCACCAAACAUAAUUCUGUAAUAUCAUUAUGUGCUAUGGCUCAUCAGUGGACUUCGAAAAACAGAUUUACACAAGUGAUGUGAAGUUUAUAUGGGACUUAGGGUAUGAAUCAGAUGUGCAUUUAGACUAGACAAUAGGAAAAUUAGGCUAGAGGGGAUCUCAAGAGGUCGUCUGGUUCAUCUUGCUAAUUUCUGUCGGGAUCUCUGUAUAGCUGAAUUAGUCACGAACAAGGAAUAUGUUCGCUCCCCAUAGUACUAGGAGAAACUGUGUAUGUGUGAGGGAAGAGUGGGAGGAUCAGCUUUCCUAAAUAAACUGCAUAAGUCCACUGGCUAACUUCCA